UAUUUCUUUGUGAUGACCGAUUUUGAAAUGGGUUUCUCUAAUGCCAGGAAAUCGCGUCUGAUGUUGUCAAGUA
Opisthocomus hoazin is the source of this 73-nucleotide non-coding RNA. Lineage: Eukaryota; Metazoa; Chordata; Aves; Opisthocomiformes; Opisthocomidae. The record is from Rfam.